ACUGUAGCACCGUGACGGGAAGAUCUCGGUUUCAAGCACUCACCAGCCACUCGACAUGUCGACACUUCAGUGAACAUCUCUCGCCCGUGUUGAAGCGCCCAGUUCGACGAAUCGGCUCGCGUUCGGCCACAAAAAAGAAGCGGCAUAGCGGUUGAGGUGAAUAUUUUUAAAGUUUGACCACAUUGGCCGCGUACUGGCACCAUGUGUGGCGUGGUUGGGAGAGCGCAGUACGAUGUCAGCAUCGUACAUCAUCAUCGACUAAUCGACGCGCAUCACAACAAUCGAAGUUCGGUAAACAGAUGACGUCAGGUUCGCGAAACGCCACCGCAGUACGUCAAGCCCCAGGAACCGGACCAGUGGCCAGUGAGGCAAAUGCUGAUCAUCACGGUAUCGACAUUUCACUCUCGGUGUGUUAAAAAUAAAUAUCAUCAAACACACGGCCGGACGAACGAGGCGAAUUGUUGCACCUGUUUUUCGGCCAUACCGAAUGCCAUUUUCGAUUUCGUUGCUUCUUCGGCGGAACUAUUGCGGGUUCGAAAAGUUGGAUCGAAAUUUUGUCGGUAAUAUGUUGAUCCGGUGCGGGAAGUCGUCGCCAGUGUAAUAUUAUCGGCCCCAGGCGGACGGAACACCCUAGCUCACGCUAACUGGCUGAAACGUUGGUGAAUAACUUCGGUACGCUGAAUGUUGGCAUCGUUCCCGGGCUGGCGGUAAUCUGACACCACGCUGAAAAUCAUCGAACUGAAGUGGUGGACCACACGACAAGCAACGGCAAACCGCAAGAUCGUGUGCGAAACCGUAAGCACAUAAAAUAUAACACCUGUACGUGGUGCGGUGUGCAUUUGAGGCGAAUCGGCAGUUGGCAGCGUACCAAGACUCAAAUGCGAUCCCUUCGUCUCCCUCGCUCGGCCGAUCUCGACCUUUUCAUUUCCUCUUUCGGUCGGGUGUGUGUGUGCUUCUUGCGCUACUAAAGGUGGGAUAGGAUAACAAGCGACGGCAACGAUGAAGUGAUAAUUGAAACGAUACUGCUAUCAAAUGCAUCGCCUCUGACACAACGCCUGUACAAAAAGACCAGCUGGUGUUAAUGAGCUGUGGCGAUGACAAGAACACGGGCAGCAUACAUUUGGCAAGAAAGCAACUGUGUUGUUUUAAUUACCGUCUAGUUAAGUCAUCUCGGCAGUUCCAGCAGGCCACCCGUGGGGAGGUUCCACCAUGACACAUGUGUAAGCGAUUCUUUGUGCGGACGCCAACGUCCCACCCCGCCCAGACACCCACGUUCGGACGCGAGGGUCCCGCGACCCGCCAGAAAAUCAUCGAUGAAAAUCAUAACCAUAAAUCAUGACCGUGAAAAUCGAAAGGCAAAAGCACCCGGGCUUGUUUAGCCAGUUGAGCUGAAAAACUAAGCAUCCGGUCGAAUCGAAACAGAGAGUGAGAGAGAAAGAGAGUGAGAAAGAGAGAGAGAGAGUGGAAAAAAUAAAAGAAAUAACACUACCAUCAGUCGGCUAGAUAAAUUGCUCUCAUUUCAUCGGACCUGUGCCAUCGAUCAUCUUUCCGUUUUCCUUCCCUGCUUCGAACGGUAACCGAUCGAGUGUUGGAAAUUCGCGUCGUGCAACCGGCGGCCUCGGGUCGUGCAAUGCGAGACAAGGCCGCACGCGAGCGUCCCGUUUAUUCGGGCGACCACCAGCCAUCAAGGGCGUCCGACGAAGAUGACAGAGAUGGUUAGUCAAUGAUGACAUCGCAGUGCUGGCAGCGGACGGAAUGCAAACGAACGUUACGAAGGUCCUGAAGCGUGUGGCCGCGUUGGUGGAGGGCUGCGAGAAGGACGCGUACCGGCGUACAAUGGCGAAGGAAAUCCGCGAAACGAUUACCCACGAAAUCUCAAUUUCGCUUUGGCAGCGGGCCGUGCCAUGGCUUGACAGCGCGUAUAAAAUUCUGCCUUGCCAUCCGCCCCGUGUGUCUCCUCAGCCAGCAGCCCGCGAUUAGCAAACAGCCGUUGAGGACGAGUUUUCCGACGGUUUCAUCGCCGACUGGUGCGGCAAACUAUGGGAAGGCUUGGUUCGAGCAGGAACGAGCCGGAAUAACACCAUCCUUUUGCGAAGCAGUUAGACAGCUUCGGGGUUCACUCGAAAACGGCAACCAGCGGACCAUGGCAACCCGGUACGAAGGGGGCGGUACGGACGGAGUGCGGGUGGUUGCUACGAACAGGCUGCAUUUAAUUAUUUCUCAUAACAACGGCUCGAGGCGUAGCGUCAGCUCGUAGCGUCGUCAGCCGGAUGUCUUGCGGUGUGUGCCGCUUUUAUUAUGCUGUCAUGUAUUUGGCGGCCGACAAAACACUCACACACUCACGUACACAAACCAACCAGGGGGUGCCUGAAGACUUGCGUGGCGAGAAAAACGGUGGGCGUGUGUAUGCGUGUGUGGGGGGUAUGAUGAGCGAUCGGUUUGUUUAAAUUGCGAGAAUCAAUUCAAAAAUAAAUACCAUUUCCGAUUUCGAUUUCGAUCCGGUUGGUGGGAAAAGGAGUCACCGAGUAAAACUGAAAAGUGAGAAAUGGAAAUUCAUUUCCGUCAAAAUAAGGUUGGUUUACGAAAAAAAAGUGCAUUGCGCUGAGAACCGUUUGCUGUGAGUCUGCGAGCGAAAUGGACGGCAGGAAGGUGAAAUGUGAUUUAAAAAUAAGCUUCAAAAAAAGGGUCGUAACUGUUCGCUCAUUUCGGUACGAUUCAUGUACAUUCACUUCUAUAUUAGCAGACGUUUUUUUGGAACUAAAUUGUGCGCACAGAAGCAUCUGAAAUUGGUGAUAUUCGAAGGUUUGAGUAUUUUCCAAUUAAAAACCAUUGAGCUGAUAACAGCAAUACAAAGCGCAAACUUAAUAGGUCAACAGAAAUAUCAAGUGGCGUUGAGGGAAAAUUGAAUUCAAUAAAAAAAAAUGAUAGCUUUUAGAAAAACUGAUAUACUAUCUUGAACAAAACAGGAUCUAUAAGUUUUUAUAGUCUCAACAAAUUUAAAUAAUUUAAAAUCCUCUUCAAAUGAUUCACUAAAUGUAAUCUUUUCUCGGAGAUCUUCAGCGCUCCUCGGAGACUCAAAUACUCUGGCAAAAAAAAGAUGAAACUUAUUCUUUAACUCAUUUUUCAGUUAACCCUAUGUUAUUAUAAAAUUAAAAAAAUAAUAAAUAAAAGAAAAUAAAGAUUUCCUUAAAGAGAGUUGCAAUGGUUAUAAAACAGGUGUAUCGAAUUGUGAUGAUAUUGGGUAGCUCGGAGUUUUUAAACGCUUUUCGAGCCAUUUUUGAUUUAGUUCA
Molecule: long non-coding RNA, 3290 nt
Organism: Anopheles stephensi (Asian malaria mosquito)
Lineage: Eukaryota; Metazoa; Arthropoda; Insecta; Diptera; Culicidae
Exons: 3
Source: RefSeq, a predicted model, not a curated record